GACGAACGCUGGCGGCGUGCUUAACACAUGCAAGUCGAACGGAAAGGCCCUGCUUUUGUGGGGUGCUCGAGUGGCGAACGGGUGAGUAACACGUGAGUAACCUGCCCUUGACUUUGGGAUAACUUCAGGAAACUGGGGCUAAUACCGGAUAGGAGCUCCUGCUGCAUGGUGGGGGUUGGAAAGUUUCGGCGGUUGGGGAUGGACUCGCGGCUUAUCAGCUUGUUGGUGGGGUAGUGGCUUACCAAGGCUUUGACGGGUCGCCGGCCUGAGAGGGUGACCGGCCACAUUGGGACUGAGAUACGGCCCAGACUCCUACGGGAGGCAGCAGUGGGGAAUAUUGCACAAUGGGCGGAAGCCUGAUGCAGCAACGCCGCGUGCGGGAUGACGGCCUUCGGGUUGUAAACCGCUUUCGCCUGUGACGAAGCGUGAGUGACGGUAAUGGGUAAAGAAGCACCGGCUAACUACGUGCCAACAGCCGCGGUGAUACGUAGGGUGCGAGCGUUGUCCGGAUUUAUUGGGCGUAAAGGGCUCGUAGGUGGUUGAUCGCGUCGGAAGUGUAAUCUUGGGGCUUAACCCUGAGCGUGCUUUCGAUACGGGUUGACUUGAGGAAGGUAGGGGAGAAUGGAAUUCCUGGUGGAGCGGUGGAAUGCGCAGAUAUCAGGAGGAACACCAGUGGCGAAGGCGGUUCUCUGGGCCUUUCCUGACGCUGAGGAGCGAAAGCGUGGGGAGCGAACAGGCUUAGAUACCCUGGUAGUCCACGCUGUAAACGGUGGGUACUAGGUGUGGGGUCCAUUCCACGGGUUCCGUGCCGUAGCUAACGCUUUAAGUACCCCGCCUGGGGAGUACGGCCGCAAGGCUAAAACUCAAAGGAAUUGACGGGGCCCCGCACAAGCGGCGGAGCAUGCGGAUUAAUUCGAUGCAACGCGUAGAACCUUACCUGGGUUUGACAUGGAUCGGGAGCGCUCAGAGAUGGGUGUGCCUCUUUUGGGGUCGGUUCACAGGUGGUGCAUGGCUGUCGUCAGCUCGUGUCGUGAGAUGUUGGGUUAAGUCCCGCAACGAGCGCAACCCUUGUUCACUGUUGCCAGCACGUUAUGGUGGGGACUCAGUGGAGACCGCCGGGGUCAACUCGGAGGAAGGUGGGGAUGACGUCAAGUCAUCAUGCCCCUUAUGUCCAGGGCUUCACGCAUGCUACAAUGGCUGGUACAGAGAGUGGCGAGCCUGUGAGGGUGAGCGAAUCUCGGAAAGCCGGUCUCAGUUCGGAUUGGGGUCUGCAACUCGACCCCAUGAAGUCGGAGUCGCUAGUAAUCGCAGAUCAGCAAUGCUGCGGUGAAUACGUUCCCGGGCCU
Molecule: ribosomal RNA, 1346 nt
Filed under: uncultured bacterium
Lineage: Bacteria
Description: bacterial SSU rRNA
Rfam family: Bacterial small subunit ribosomal RNA
Source: RNAcentral